RNAcentral lists this ribosomal RNA (521 nucleotides) under Atelopus pulcher. Its description in RNAcentral is "partial 16S ribosomal RNA". It matches the Rfam family "Bacterial large subunit ribosomal RNA", at positions 1849 to 2576 of the family's 2925-position model. The record is from RNAcentral. Lineage: Eukaryota; Metazoa; Chordata; Amphibia; Anura; Bufonidae.
GAGGUCCCGCCUGCCCAGUGAUUUAAUUUAACGGCCGCGGUAUCCUAACCGUGCGAAGGUAGCGUAAUCACUUGUUCUUUAAAUGAGGACUAGUAUGAAUGGCAUCACGAGGGUUUUACUGUCUCCUUUUCUUAAUCAGUGAAACUAAUCUUCCCGUGAAGAAGCGGGAAUAAACGAAUAAGACGAGAAGACCCUAUGGAGCUUUAAACACAAUAACAAGUACUACUUUAAACAAAAUUUCUUAAUAACUUACUACCUGGUACUAUGAUUAUUAGUUUUAGGUUGGGGUGACCGCGGAGAAAAACAUAACCUCCACAUGAAUGAUAAAAUUCUAAGCAAAGAAUUACAUCUCUAAGCAUCAAUAUAUUGACAUCAAUUGACCCAAUUAUUUUGAUCAACGAACCAAGUUACCCUAGGGAUAACAGCGCAAUCUACUUCAAGAGCCCAUAUCGACAAGUGGGUUUACGACCUCGAUGUUGGAUCAGGGUACCCCAGUGGUGCAGCCGCUACUAAAGGUUCGU